UACGUAGGUGGCAAGCGUUGUCCGGAUUUAUUGGGUUUAAAGGGUGCAUAGGUGGUCUAUUAAGUCAGUGCUGAAAUAUCCCGGCUUAACCGGGAGGGUGGCAUUGAUACUGAUGGACUUGAGUAAAGUUGAGGUGGGCGGAAUUGACGGUGUAGCGGUGAAAUGCUUAGAUAUCGUCAAGAACACCUAUUGCGAAGGCAGCUCACUAAGCUUUAACUGACACUGAGGCACGAAAGUGUGGGAAUCAAACAGG
RNAcentral lists this ribosomal RNA (253 nucleotides) under uncultured bacterium. Its description in RNAcentral is "partial 16S ribosomal RNA". It matches the Rfam family "Bacterial small subunit ribosomal RNA", at positions 524 to 776 of the family's 1533-position model. The record is from RNAcentral.